GGGCCUUGCUCGUGCUCUCGCGAGAUGAGCUGUAAUCUCGGCGGGGCUCGGGAGAGGGGCCUGGCAGGAGCGUUCGGAACCCCGGGAAGCAGAAAGGAGUGCUCCGCGUUUCCCGCGCGGGUUCUCCCGCCUCGGCUCUGAGCGGACUGGAGGGGUCAGUUGGACCACCUGCCUGCGUCGUCACGGAGGGCCCCCUGGAAAAGGCGGAGGGGCGGGGAGCUGUUGCUGCUGUGGAAAGAAUGGAUUAGGGAAAGACCAGCAUAGAAGCAGGAGACCAGUUGGGAGGCUGAUGCAGUGGUCCAGGCUUUGUGUAAGGUGCUGUGGUUACCAAGGUGAAUACCCCUAUCUGGUAGGGAAGGUGGAUGUGAACAUACGCAAAGACCGUGUGCGGCGGGGUCAGCGCUGUGACAGAGGCUGUUUUUUGGUGAGGAAGAUUGGCCCUAAGCUAACAUCUUUUCCAAUCUUCCUGUUUUUAUUUUCUCCCCAAAGCCCCAGUACAUGGUUCUAUAACCUAGUUGUAAGUCCUUCUAGUUCUUCUAUGUAGGGGGCUGCCACAGCAUGGCUUGAUGAGUGGUGUGUAGGUCCACACCCAGGAUCCCAACCAGUGAACCCCAGGCCACCAAAGCAGAGCAUGCAAACUUAACCACUAUGCCACUGGGCUGGCCCCUGUUCUUUAUUAUUUUAAUCAAAUUUAGAAGGAAAAUUUAGCCAAGCCCAAAUGGAAAAAUGGUUUGUUAAAAAAGAAAAGCCACAAAAUAAAUACCAGAGACUAAAUUUCAGGGCCUUUAAAAGUACAAGUGCUUAAGCUGCCGCCUGAAGAUUCUCAUUCAGAGGGUCCCAGGUAUUUCUAUUUUUUCAGACCUCCACAAAUAAUUUUGAUGUUCAGCAGGGUGAGACCCACUGAGAUAGACAUUCAUCAUUAUCCUGUCAAAUGAUCUAAUAAACACUCUGUCUGAUCAGAAAUAGCAGUACAAAGAAAACUUCCAUAAUUAGAAUUUUUUUACCCUAAUAAAAUAUGUUCCUACUUGUGGGUUUUUCCAUUUCCAUUUAUUUAGCUGUACUCUGACAAAUUUGUAGCCUUUGUACGUAAUCCAGAACACAGAAAGGACAGCUUUUGAUAAAUACGUGUGGUUCUGUACAAUGUAAGGAAAAAAUAUGGCAUAGGAGUGAUAGCCAGGGGUUAGCAGGAAGAGGAAUAAAAGCAGAAAAAAAUGUCAUCUGCAUGUCACUCAAAAAGUAUUGAUGGAAUUAUAAGGAUGAUCUCCCACUGUGACCAGCUGUGGCCCUUUCCUAAGGAAUAGAAGUCUCAAAUAGUCUCAUGAGAUUAAUAUGCAUAUUUUUCUUUCUUUUAUAAUGCUGGCAUUGAGUCAUAGGGAGUUAUUGUUAAAGACUAAAGAGUAGAAAGAAAAAGCCAAAUAGAGCCUUGUCCUACCCAGCUUAGCUUCCAAAGAAUAUAAUGAAAAAGAUGGUCGAUUCUUUGAAAAAGUAUUGGCGUUAACUAGUUUUCAUGAUGACUAUGUUUCGAGACCAUCAUUUCCCAAAGUGUGCUCUUUAUAAAAAAUAGUUCCUCAGAAGGCUAGAGGUAUUACUUGAAGGGGUUCCUUGAUGAAGUACAUUUGUAUUGCAGGAUUUAACCGAGGUAGAGAGGUUUCUUUGAAGGACUUCUCAGGGCCUUUGUGAAUUGCCAAGAAAAG
This is a long non-coding RNA of Equus asinus (donkey), 1694 nucleotides long. The record is from Ensembl. NCBI's taxonomy places the organism in Eukaryota, Metazoa, Chordata, Mammalia, Perissodactyla, Equidae.